This is a long non-coding RNA of Scylla paramamosain (green mud crab), 1630 nucleotides long. RefSeq lists it as uncharacterized. NCBI's taxonomy places the organism in Eukaryota, Metazoa, Arthropoda, Malacostraca, Decapoda, Portunidae. The transcript has 2 exons. The record is from RefSeq and is a predicted model, not a curated record.
ACAUUAAAGUCUCAUGUCAUACUUGUUAAUAAUGAAGUGACAUACCAAGAGAUCAAACACACACACACACACACACACACACACACACACACACACACACACACACACACACACACACACCUAUUCGAAUUACGAGUAUGUUGUGUGUUGCAGUCAAUGUAACAUCAAUAUCUAUUUGUCUAUCUGAGCCUGUGAGCAUGUGGAGGAGCGGAUGGGUUGAUGGAUGGGUGGAUGGAAGGAUGUAUGAGUGAGUGGGUGGAUGGGUGGGUGGUUGGAUGACGGGGUGGGUGGAUUGUAAGUGAUCGUAUGGGUGAAUAGGUGGAGAUAAGAAGACUGAUGAAUGGAUGGAUGGAUGAAUAGGCGAGUGUAUGAAUGGGUGGGAGGUUCCCUUUAAGCAUUACACACGAGAGAGAGAGAGAGAGAGAGAGAGAGAGAGAGAGAGAGAGAGAGAGAGAGAGAGAGAGAGAGAGAGACAGACAGACAGAAAGGCAGAGACAGAGAGAGAGCUGUACACAACGUGGUGCAACAACUAAUUAAACAGCAACCAUUUCCUACAGUAGGAAAAUAAUAAAGGAAGCAAAACUUUUCCUUUUGUGUAUACAUAUAAGGCAGGCUAGAUGGAAUAAGGACAUCAGUGUGGCUGGCGUCUCCGUAGGGUGAGCGGUGCGUGCUCGCGUCGUCUGAAGCCCAUCGCGACUGAAACAACUGAUCUGUACGUAGGCCGCCAAAGUGGGCCGUUUGGCUUCUGACUCGACGCGCGCUGGCCAAUAUGGAGAUGGCGAACAACAGGGGCGUGAAAAGGUUGGUGGUGGCGUAUAUAGUCGCGGGAAUGCUUGUGGGUAUGAUACUGGGCUGCUGUGUGUCACUCAUCACGCAGCAGCAACAGCAGCUGCAACAUCCCAGCACGCUGCAACAUCCCAGCACGCUGCAUCACCGGAACUAUCGUAGCGCACCGCUAAAUAAUGACCCACAGUGCCAGUCCAGUGUGGACCUCAGCAAUAGUAAAGCGACGCGAGAAUUUCAGGCAAGCCUCUGUAUACCAGUGUAUCAGAAUGUAAAAGUCGAUGUGGAAGAGGGCUGCAAUAAGGUUCUUGUUAAAAGAUGUGCCUGUAAUGGAUGUUACGUACGUGGGGAGUGUGUACCAUCUUCCACGAAUGAUGUCCAGAGAGAAGUGAUGUGCGACGACGGGAAGACUACGGUGGAUGUUGAGGAACAUACGGCCUGCACGUGUACGUAAACAGGCACCCUGUGACACAACCAGUGCAUCCCGGACUGGCCAUCACCGCUCUAGUCUCCUCGAUUAACCGACACGGCCUUCCUUCCCUGAUAGACUCACCGCCACCACCACCACCACCACCACCACAACCACUACCACCACCGCCGCCGUCGCCGCCGCCAUCGGUUAAAAUAAAUGUUUAAUUUAGAAUCUUACGUGCACAGAGUGCACAAGUGUAGCGACAGACUCUGGAGCCGCGGUUCUCAAAUGGCGGUCCGUAGUAGCAUGCACCACAUACACUAUAUUUGUUGAUAAACUUGAAGUGAAUGUUCACAAUCUUAAACCUAUGUAAACUUCAGUAUGAACAAUUUAACCAAAAUAAAUAAUGAUUUAUUUUAUUACUACAUAUAUUUA